This 380-nucleotide long non-coding RNA is filed under the name Callithrix jacchus (white-tufted-ear marmoset). Its description in RNAcentral is "lncRNA (ENSCJAG00000068811.2)". The record is from RNAcentral. Lineage: Eukaryota; Metazoa; Chordata; Mammalia; Primates; Cebidae.
UCUAUUACAGAUGUGUGGUUAACAGAAGUUAAGAAUGGAGGAAGGCAAGACGAUGAGUGGAAAGUGAAAGUGGCUUUCAAAGAACAAGCCAGGAGUCCUUGUGGUGAUGGAGAUGUUCUGUAUCUUGACUCUUCAAUGAUAAUCUCCUCAUUGUGGUAUCACUCUGGAUCUACAGGAUGCAGCCACUGGGAAGAAUAUGGGUCUGCGUGAAUCCCGGAGCAGUGUUCUCAGCUGUGACAGCAAAGUGGGAUCACCCGGAGAAACUGGAAGAACAUACCGAAGCCUGUGCCCCACACCUGGGGAUCCUGAUUGAAAGCAGAAGCAAAGCCAUCAACUGGAGAAGAAGCUGUUGGAUGUUUGAGAAGAAGACAGCUAUGUAA